This 238-nucleotide ribosomal RNA is filed under the name uncultured bacterium. RNAcentral's name for it is "partial 16S ribosomal RNA". It matches the Rfam family "Bacterial small subunit ribosomal RNA", at positions 96 to 334 of the family's 1533-position model. The record is from RNAcentral.
CGGCGGACGGGUGAGUAACGCGUGGGUAACCUGCCUCAUACAGGGGGAUAACAGUUAGAAAUGACUGCUAAUACCGCAUAAGACCACGGUACCGCAUGGUACAGUGGUAAAAACUCCGGUGGUAUGAGAUGGACCCGCGUCUGAUUAGGUAGUUGGUGGGGUAACGGCCUACCAAGCCGACGAUCAGUAGCCGACCUGAGAGGGUGAUCGGCCACAUUGGGACUGAGACACGGCCCAA